RNAcentral lists this ribosomal RNA (253 nucleotides) under uncultured bacterium. RNAcentral describes it as "partial 16S ribosomal RNA". It matches the Rfam family "Bacterial small subunit ribosomal RNA", at positions 524 to 776 of the family's 1533-position model. The record is from RNAcentral.
UACGGAGGGUGCGAGCGUUGUCCGGAAUCACUGGGCGUAAAGGGCGCGUAGGCGGCCUGAUAAGUAGGGGGUGAAAUCCUGCGGCUUAACCGCAGGGCUGCCUUCUAAACUGUCGGGCUAGAGCACGGUAGAGGCAGAUGGAAUUCCCGGUGUAGCGGUGGAAUGCGUAGAGAUCGAGAAGAACAUCAGUGGCGAAGGCGGUCUGCUGGGCCGUUGCUGACGCUGAGGCGCGACAGCGUGGGGAGCAAACAGG